This 502-nucleotide unclassified non-coding RNA is filed under the name Hevea brasiliensis (rubber tree). The record is from RNAcentral. Lineage: Eukaryota; Viridiplantae; Streptophyta; Magnoliopsida; Malpighiales; Euphorbiaceae.
UGGAGAUAAAAAACACUGUUCUGUCAAAUGAUAACUUACAUAAUUUGAUGCUAAAGCGGUUCAAUUUUGAGCUAUUCCAGCGCAAAGAAUUAUGCAAGCUUCGUGAGAAACUGGAACAAAAAAAGAAGGCUCUACAGGAGACCAUUGCAAACAGGAAGAAGUUCUUGUCAAGUCUCCCAUCGCACCUAAAAUCACUCAAGAAAGCAUCCUUGCCGGUGCAGCACCAGCUUGGAGUACUCCACACAAAAAAGUUGAAGCAGGUGCAAUAUGCAGAGUUGCUUCCUCCGCCUCUCUAUGUUAUUUAUUCACAGCUCAUGGCCCAAAAAGAAGCCUUUGGAGAAAAUGUGGAUCUGGAGAUUGUUGGUAGUGUGAAGGAUGCUCAAGCUGUUGCCCGCCAGCAAGCAAAUAAAGACACUGGUGUCUCUGCCAGCUUAGAGAGCUCUAAAGUUGAUGAUGAUAUAGAUGAUGAAGAUGAUGGACAAAGGAGAAGAAAGCGUCCCAA